UGGCGGCGUGGUUAAGACAUGCAAGUCGAACGGAGUUAUAAGUGUAGUAAUACAUUUAUAAUUUAGUGGCGAACGGGUGCGUAACACGUGAGCAAUCUGCCGGGAAGUGUGGGAUAGCUCGCCGAAAGGCGAAUUAAUACCGCAUGUGGCUAGGGGUGACAUCACUCCAAAGCCAAAGUCGCAAGACGCUUCCUGAUGAGCUCGCGGCCUAUCAGCUAGUUGGUGAGGUAACGGCUCACCAAGGCAAUGACGGGUAGCUGGUCUGAGAGGACGACCAGCCACACUGGAACUGAGACACGGUCCAGACACCUACGGGUGGCAGCAGUCGAGAAUUUUUCACAAUGGGGGAAACCCUGAUGGAGCGACGCCGCGUGGAGGACGAAGGUCUUCGGAUUGUAAACUCCUGUCAUGCGGGAACAAGAAAGUGAUAGUACUGCAAGAGGAAGAGACGGCUAACUCUGUGCCAGCAGCCGCGGUAAUACAGAGGUCUCAAGCGUUGUUCGGAUUCAUUGGGCGUAAAGGGUGCGUAGGUGGCGUGGAAAGUUGAGUGUGAAAUCCUAGGGCUUAACCUUAGAACUGCACUCAAUACUCCCAUGCUAGAGGAAUGUAGAGGAGAGUGGAAUUCACGGUGUAGCAGUGAAAUGCGUAGAUAUCGUGAGGAAGACCAGUUGCGAAGGCGACUCUCUGGGCAUCUCCUGACACUGAGGCACGAAGGCUAGGGGAGCAAACGGGAUUAGAUACCCCGGUAGUCCUAGCAGUAAACGGUGCACGUUUGGUGUGGGCAGGCUCAGANCCUGUCCGUGCCGGAGCUAACGCGUUAAACGUGCCGCCUGGGAAGUACGGUCGCAAGAUUAAAACUCAAGAAAUUGACGGGGGCCCGCACAAGCGGUGGAGUAUGUGGCUUAAUUCGAUGCAACGCGAAGAACCUUUACCUGGNCUUGACAUGCAUCU
Molecule: ribosomal RNA, 951 nt
Filed under: uncultured bacterium
Lineage: Bacteria
Description: bacterial SSU rRNA
Rfam family: Bacterial small subunit ribosomal RNA
Source: RNAcentral